GUUUUUUUUCCCCUCUCUUUCCAAUGGGCCCUUCAGUAGGGAAAGCCGGUGUUCCUUCGCGAGGCUAAAGGCAUCCCAGGUUCACACAGACCUCCAGAUGUUCCAAAACUACAACUCCCAGCAUGCCCGACUAUCCCUCCCCACCGGACGGUCCCUGCAGCACAGAUGGACCAAGUGGAGAAACAAUCUGAAGAACAAGAUGUGAGCACAUGUAGAGAAGAUGCCCAGAAGAGCCACUUAGAGGGAAACUCCAAUUCAGUAUGCGCAACGUGUGCCACAGAGAACUUACAGAUAUCUGGGUAGUUGCCCGGCAACAGAUGAAGAAGGGAGCGGAUGACCACUCUGGUACAGAAGGCUGCAAAGAAGAAGAGAUGCCAAGGAGAGCUCUAUUCUCCCAAUACUAAUUGAUGGUGACCGGAGGUGAGCAUUGGGGAUGAUAUUAAGCCAUGGAGAGUAAGAGGAAGGAAGGAAUCAAUGGAAAUAAUCAGAGAAGAAAGGUAGGUAGAUAAUGGAAGAACGAGAAUGAAGGAAGGUGGUAGAGGAAGGAGAACAUCAAUGGAGAGAGUAAUGAUGGAGGAAAUAAAGGCAAAGAAUGGAAGAAGGAGAAGGAAGGAAGGUGGUAGAGAGAAAAAGACAUCAAUGGCGGAAAUCAGGAAAGGAGAAAUAGGACAGAUUGCAGGCAGAGAAUGGAAGGUAUGAGGUAGAAGUAAGGAACGAGGGAAGGAAGAAACAAAAAGUAGGAACACAACAAGUAAGGAAGGGAGGAAGGAAGGAAUGCAAUAAAGCAGGGGAAAAAGUAAUAUGGAAGUAAAAAGAUAGAACGGGAGGUGAAGUAGGUAGGAGAGGUUUAAUGGAAGAAAAGUAAAGCUGAGGAGGCAUGACAAAACAAGAAAGGAGGAAAGGAAGAAGGAAAGGAAGCAAGGAAGGAAAUGUGAAGAAAUAAGGGAAGUAAGGGGUAAGAAAAUAGGGAAGAAAAAAAAUGGAAGAAAGGAAAGGGUGAGAAAAUAAGAGAAGUGAGAAAGAAAGGAUGGAAUGAAGAAAGGAUAGAGAACAGAAAGAUGGACGAAAGAAAGGGAGGAGGAGAGAGAGAGAUGCAAAAGAAGAAAGACAGGGGAAGAAAGGAAGGGAAGAAAGGUGAGCAGACAGUGUCAGGAGGGGAUUGGUUCACAAGGGUGGAACCUACACCCAUCAUGAAUUUCUUUGGAUGGUGUGCCCUGCACAUUGCUAUAGGUACACGCCUGUAACUAAAGUGAAUGAUUUCAUUCUUCUGCUUACUGGAUAGAAUUGUUGGGUAUAAUAUUGUAUCACUCAUUCUAAAAGGAAGAUCACAGGUGGAAACACUUCACCCUAAAGCAGCGUCCCUGUCUAUAGCCAUCCCUAUGUAUCCGUUCAGAUAGUAUUAACUCAUCUGUAGCUUUUGGGUUCUGGUUACCAACAGACAUGAUAGGUGUUAGGGUCACAUCUCCCGGCUCCACUUAAAUCUGCUGGGCCCAUGCUCUAGAGUGCUAUGGAAAGGAUCACAGUGAUUUAUUUAUGCUAUGAAAUAAUGUAAAGCCUCUUUACGAAGACCACCCAAAAGGCAAUAAAGAGUGGUGUUCUCAGAGAAACGGGUCAUAAUGCAUAAUGUCUGAAAAUCUGUUCCAGGAAAUUUGGUCUGGUUAAGGGGGUGGCCUUCUCUCUGUAAAUGAACAUAUCAGAAACAAAGAACAAGAUUGAUACAAUUAAACUCUUUGUAUUUUGUGCCUCCUUCUCGUGACUUCACUUCACCUGCAAAACUUUCAAAGCGUUAAUUUUAAAGCGUGAAUUUAAAUUGCAGAACAUGGAGAUGUGAGCGAUGGAGGGGCUGACACCAGUCACUCACCGUAAUUAUACCAAUCAGUUCGCGCCUUCCUUCCAGGAACAGAGCGAUGAAUAUUUUUUGAUACAAUUAUAUUUUGCUUCACACAGACGUUUUUUCCAGAUAAUGACAUUACCCAAACUCAAUAAAAGAGACUACUCCAAUAAAUUGUCACAUUAUUAGGA
This is a long non-coding RNA of Hyla sarda, 2022 nucleotides long. RefSeq lists it as uncharacterized. Lineage: Eukaryota; Metazoa; Chordata; Amphibia; Anura; Hylidae. The record is from RefSeq and is a predicted model, not a curated record. The transcript is spliced from 3 exons.